AAGCAGCGACUCUGGUCAUGGA
Molecule: microRNA, 22 nt
Filed under: Oryza sativa (Asian cultivated rice)
Lineage: Eukaryota; Viridiplantae; Streptophyta; Magnoliopsida; Poales; Poaceae
Description: osa-miR5813
Source: miRBase by way of RNAcentral